RNAcentral lists this unclassified non-coding RNA (158 nucleotides) under uncultured Helotiales. RNAcentral describes it as "sequence contains ITS1". Lineage: Eukaryota; Fungi; Ascomycota; Leotiomycetes; Helotiales. The record is from RNAcentral.
CAGAGUUCAUGCCCAUUUGGGUAGAUCUCCCACCCUUGAAAUUCGUACCUUUGUUGCUUUGGCAGGCCGCGGCCUCCGCCACCGGCCCCGGCUGGUGUGUGCCUGCCAGAGGACCCAACUCAUGUUAUUAGUGAUGUCUGAGUACUAUAUAAUAGUUA